AGUGAACGCUGGCGGUAGGCCUAACACAUGCAAGUCGAACGGCAGCACAGUAAGAGCUUGCUCUUACGGGUGGCGAGUGGCGGACGGGUGAGGAAUACAUCGGAAUCUACUUUUUCGUGGGGGAUAACGGAGGGAAACUUACGCUAAUACCGCAUACGACCUACGGGUGAAAGCAGUGGAGCUUCGGACCUUGCGCGAUUGAAUGAGCCGAUGUCGGAUUAGCUAGUUGGCGGGGUAAAGGCCCACCAAGGCGACGAUCCGUAGCUGGUCUGAGAGGAUGAUCAGCCACACUGGAACUGAGACACGGUCCAGACUCCUACGGGAGGCAGCAGUGGGGAAUAUUGGACAAAGGGCGCAAGCCUGAUCCAGCCAUACCGCGUGGGUGAAGAAGGCCUUCGGGUUGUAAAGCCCUUUUGUUGGGAAAGAAAAGCAGCAGGUUAAUACCCCGAUGUUCUGACGGUACCCAAAGAAUAAGCACCGGCUAACUUCGUG
RNAcentral lists this ribosomal RNA (492 nucleotides) under uncultured bacterium. Its description in RNAcentral is "partial 16S ribosomal RNA". It matches the Rfam family "Bacterial small subunit ribosomal RNA", at positions 29 to 507 of the family's 1533-position model. The record is from RNAcentral.